AUGAUUCUUGACUGGGGUGGGUUCCAGGAGAACGAAUCUGAGGGCCUAGGUUUCAACAAGGCCUCUCCUGUCUCCUACCACAUCUACAGAAAAAAGAACCCCAGAAAAUUCUUACAUGGAAGAUCAGGGACAAUCCAGAGAAAGCUUCCCUUGGUGCUGCAGGAGGGGAACAAGAGCUGCGAUCCAUCCAGACCUAAUCUACCCACCAUAGAAAAAAGUGACUUCAUUGCAGAGGAAGGCUGGAUCAAGAUAUUUGUAGAAGGAACUAAGCUUUUAAUAACUUCUCCUGAUAAAAGUCCUGAUGAAGAUAUUUCUCCCAAGCCCACAGUUUUUCUUCCUUCAUUUGCUGAAGUAAAAGUCCAUAAGGCUGGAACAUAUCUUUGUCUUCUUGAGGAUUUUUUCCCUGAUGUUAUCAAGGUAUAUUGGCAAGAAAAGGAUGACAAAACAAUUCUGAAAUCUCAGCAGGGAGACACCAUGAAGACUAAGGACACAUACAUGAAAUUCAGCUGGCUGACAGUGACUGGAGCAUCAAUGGAUAAAGAACACAAAUGUAUCAUCAACCACCAAAGGAAUAACAGAGAAGUUGUUCAAGAGAUUCUUUUUCCUUCAAUUAACAAAGGUUUGAUGGCUGUGACAGAAUCUGAAAUGGACUCCCAGGGACAUUCAGAAACAAAGCGAAACACAGAGGUGGUGACCGUGAGUCCUUUGAAUUCACGAUCUUUCUCACCUGACCCAAUGGCUGUGGAGCUUGCUGCUAUUAACUCCACAAAAUCUUCUCUGAAUGAUGAAAAUGACACCCUGUGGCUGCAACUUGGGAACACAUCUGCCUACUAUACCUAUGUUCUCCUCCUCCUGAAGAGCCUGGUCUACUCCAUCAUCAUCGUCAUCUGUCUGCUUGGGAGACCAGCACUCAGUAGCAGUGGGAAGAGUUCCUAACACAUAGUGGCACAAGGUGUCACUUCU
Lontra canadensis (Northern American river otter) is the source of this 963-nucleotide non-coding RNA. The record is from the annotation of a RefSeq genome assembly. Lineage: Eukaryota; Metazoa; Chordata; Mammalia; Carnivora; Mustelidae.